This 241-nucleotide ribosomal RNA is filed under the name uncultured bacterium. RNAcentral describes it as "partial 16S ribosomal RNA". It matches the Rfam family "Bacterial small subunit ribosomal RNA", at positions 89 to 334 of the family's 1533-position model. The record is from RNAcentral.
CGACGAGUGGCGAACGGGUGAGUAAUAUAUCGGAACGUGCCCAGUAUGGGGGAUAGCCCGGCGAAAGCCGGAUUAAUACCGCAUACGACCUACGGGUGAAAGCGGGGGAUCGUAAGACCUCGCGCUAUUGGAGCGGCCGAUAUCAGAUUAGGUAGUUGGUGGGGUAAAAGCCUACCAAGCCGACGAUCUGUAGCUGGUCUGAGAGGACGACCAGCCACACUGGGACUGAGACACGGCCCAG